This 797-nucleotide small RNA is filed under the name Pongo abelii (Sumatran orangutan). Its description in RNAcentral is "retained intron". The record is from RNAcentral. Lineage: Eukaryota; Metazoa; Chordata; Mammalia; Primates; Hominidae.
CCUUCCCAGGUACAGAGCAUGAAGCAGACCAACAGCAGCCUGCGCCAAGCCCUGGAGGGCGGUAUUGAUCCACUCCGCCCCCCGGAGGCCAACACCAAGUUCAACUCCCGCUGGACCACAGAUGAGCAGCUUUUGGCCGUCCAAGCCAUCCGUAGGUAUGGCAAAGACUUUGGGGCUAUUGCAGAGGUGAUUGGGAACAAGACUCUGACCCAGGUGAAGACUUUCUUUGUGAGCUACCGGCGCCGCUUCAAUCUGGAGGAGGUGCUGCAGGAAUGGGAGGCUGAGCAGGAUGGGGCCCCUGGAGCCCCAGUCCCCAUGGAGGAGGCUAGGAGAGGGGCUCCAUUGCCAGCCCCAGCCCUAGAGGAAGAUGAUGAGGUGAGAAGGGGGUGAGAGAAACCCCUCAGAGAGGAGAGGCGAGGCGAGGCGAGGUGAGGCGCCGCCUUGGUCCUUAGACUGGGCUGAGGGCGGGAAGAGCCUGGCUUCUCACUCUUUCCUCUCCCCUCAGGUCCAGAUUACAUCGGUCUCCACGUCUGUGCCCCGAUCAGUGCCCCCUGCGCUGCCACCCCUUCCACCUCCCACCUCGCUGUCCCAGCCGCCCCCACUGCUGAGGCCACCUUUGCCCACGGCUCCCACUCUGCUCCGACAGCCACCCCCACUGCAGCAGGGCCGCUUCCUCCAGCCCCGGCUGGCCCCCAACCAGCCCCCACCGCCUCUCAUCCGCCCCGCUCUGGCUGCCUCCCGCCACAGUGCCCGCCCUGGCCCUCAGCCCCCACCCACCUUGAUUGGAGCCCCUCUGG